Molecule: ribosomal RNA, 292 nt
Filed under: uncultured bacterium
Lineage: Bacteria
Description: partial 16S ribosomal RNA
Rfam family: Bacterial small subunit ribosomal RNA
Source: RNAcentral
GUGCCAGCCGCCGCGGUAAAACGUAGGAGGCGAGCGUUAUCCGGAUUUACUGGGCAUAAAGGGUGUGCAGGCGGAUUGGUAAGUGGUGCAUGAAAGCCGCGCGCUCACCGUGCGGAGGCUGUGCCAGACUGCCAACCUUGAGGGUGCGAGAGGGACGUGGAAUUCCGGGUGUAGUGGUGAAAUGCGUAGAGAUCCGGAGGAACACCAGAGGCGAAGGCGGCGUCCUGGCGCAUACCUGACGCUCAGACACGACAGCAUGGGGAGCGAACGGGAUUAGAAACCCCUGUAGUCC